RNAcentral lists this ribosomal RNA (253 nucleotides) under uncultured bacterium. RNAcentral's name for it is "partial 16S ribosomal RNA". It matches the Rfam family "Bacterial small subunit ribosomal RNA", at positions 524 to 776 of the family's 1533-position model. The record is from RNAcentral.
GACAGAGGUGCCGAGCGUUAGGCGGAAUCACUGGGCUUAAAGCGUGUGUAGGCGGACCCGUCAGUGUCUUGUGAAAUCCUACGGCUCAACCGUGGAACGGCUGGGCAUACUGCGGGUCUUGAGACACCUAGGGGCGAGCGGAACAGGCGGUGGAGCGGUGAAAUGCGUAGAUAUACGGAGGAACACCAGCGGCGAAGGCGGGUAGCUGGGCCAACACUGACGCUGAUGUGCGAAAGCUAGGGGAGCAAACGGG